RNAcentral lists this ribosomal RNA (253 nucleotides) under uncultured bacterium. RNAcentral describes it as "partial 16S ribosomal RNA". It matches the Rfam family "Bacterial small subunit ribosomal RNA", at positions 524 to 776 of the family's 1533-position model. The record is from RNAcentral.
UACAGAGGUCUCAAGCGUUGUUCGGAAUCACUGGGCGUAAAGGGUGCGUAGGCGGCGUGGUAAGUCAGUUGUGAAAGGCCGGGGCUCAACCCUGGUAUUGCAACCGAUACUGCCGUGCUGGAGUGCUGGAGGGGAGUCUGGAAUUCACGGUGGAGCAGUGAAAUGCGUAGAUAUCGUGAGGAACACCAGUGGCGAAGGCGGCUCUCUGGACCAGCACUGACACUGAGGCACGAAAGCGUGGGGAGCAAACAGG